GAGGUUGUCGUUGAGUGGUUAAGGCGAUGGACUAGAAAUCUUUUGGGAUCUUCCCGCGCAGGUUCAAAUCCUGCCGACAUCG
RNAcentral lists this transfer RNA (82 nucleotides) under Dreissena polymorpha. It matches the Rfam family "tRNA". From Rfam's summary of the family: Transfer RNA (tRNA) molecules are approximately 80 nucleotides in length. The record is from Rfam by way of RNAcentral. Lineage: Eukaryota; Metazoa; Mollusca; Bivalvia; Myida; Dreissenidae.